GAAGAAACAAAAAGGAAGAAUGUAAAAGACAAAGUAGUUAUAAUUAGAAAGUAGAUUGUUUCUAAUACUGGGAUUCAGGUAUAAGUGUUGUCAGGUGGCUUUUUAUUUAAGUGGCAAAGCUCAAAGGGUAUGAAAAACCUAACCCUUUCCUCAAAACUUUUUCCAUGUUGUUAUGUGUAAGAGGUCAUGUUGAUAAUGGGAAAUAUUCUGUCUUAAGAAGCUGCAAAUUCCAGGUAAUUGUCAGUGGGCAAGCCACUUACCUGCUUUAAGCCUGAAUUUCAGUAUCUGAAAAAUUCAAAGAGGCACCUUACCAGCCUGAAGCGAAAGGCUCUGUCACAUUCUAUUUUGAGACCCUUUGGGGCUCUGCGCUCUAUGGCUCUGUGACGCUUGGUCUUACGUAGAGUCUCUUCAGUAAUUUAUCCCUUAACAGACUGCUUCACAUGUUAGUAAUCACAGGAGGCUGAGGAACAUUCAUUAGAAGAACAUUAAGGGAAAUCAAAGUCAAGAGAGAAGAGUCAAGCUCUGAACCUCAAAAAGAACGGUAUUUGACGGUGGGGAAAGUGCCCUGGUAGAGGUGGCUGUCUCAGGAGGAAGAGGCCAGGUAGAGGAGAAAAACAGAGGAAGACAGAAAUCAGAAAAGAGACACAGAGUCAAGAGAUUUCCGACACUAUGGGAAGCAGAAGAUGAAGAGUGGAAGAGAGAUCAGGGCCGUACUCCUACGUCGGGGCAGAACAGUGGUUGUUUUGUGUACUGUUUGAACCCAGCGAGAAAAAAACUGAGAAAGAGUGAUGAAAUAAAAUAAAGAACGGUAUUCCACCUCCGGAACUGGGAUUUAUUUUAAGAGUCUUUUUUUGAGGAAUGGGGUUAAAUGUAUAUUGAGAAAUAUUGGAUGUGGGAUUUAAGAAGGUUGGAAAGCCAGUGACUUGAGACCUUGAUUAAUGUGAUGCAAACAGAAGGACCGGUGCCUGACACCCUUUUGCUUGGCUUUCAUGGGAGGAGGAACUCUCAUUUCAUUCGACUGUAGUG
Molecule: long non-coding RNA, 1026 nt
Filed under: Equus caballus (horse)
Lineage: Eukaryota; Metazoa; Chordata; Mammalia; Perissodactyla; Equidae
Description: lncRNA (ENSECAG00000047197.1)
Source: RNAcentral